UUGACUGUGCUAAGGUAGCAUAAUAAAUUGGCUUUUAAUUGAAGUCGGGAAUGAAAGGGUGUUUGGAGUUAUUCUGUCUUAUUUUUAUUUUUUAAAAGUUACUAAUGAGGUGAAAAUUCCUCAAUAUUAUUUGAUAGACGAGAAGACCCUAAGAAUUAUUACAAUUAUUAAAAUAAAUUAAUAAAAGUUUUUGUUGGGGCAACAACUUUGGAAAUAAAUAACCAAAGUUAAAUUUAUUAUGAAUAUAAAAAGAUUAUAUUAAAAAUGAAUUUAAUUACCUUAGGGAUAACAGCAUAAUUAUAUUUUAGAUUGUGACCUCGAUGUUGGAUUANGGCCU
Molecule: ribosomal RNA, 337 nt
Filed under: Pyramidula sp. 4 OR-2015
Lineage: Eukaryota; Metazoa; Mollusca; Gastropoda; Stylommatophora; Pyramidulidae
Description: partial 16S ribosomal RNA
Source: RNAcentral